Molecule: long non-coding RNA, 627 nt
Organism: Drosophila elegans
Lineage: Eukaryota; Metazoa; Arthropoda; Insecta; Diptera; Drosophilidae
Exons: 3
Source: RefSeq, a predicted model, not a curated record
GCAGUGUGCAAAUCUGAGUGUGCGUUUCUAACGUGAGCUAGUCAUUGGAAGAAUUCCGAAAAAAUCUUAAAAGAACUUUAAUCUUUGGGAUUUUUGAUUAUUUCGAAAAAGACUCAACAGAGGCAUACAUUGUUCUGCUAAAAGAUCUAUUAAAUAUCAAAAUGGAUUUCAUUGUAAACAAUUUAAUUCGAAUUAUUGCUAACUUGACAAUCUGGCAGUCAUUGUUUGCCGAACUUCAACAAAACGAAAUAUUUGCACUAGAGGAUAGUCUUGCUGACAAUAGUUUUACCGAAAGUGAAUCUUACACCGAAGACGAAAUAAUGGGAAUAGAGGAUGGAUUUGAUGACUAUAGUUACACUGAAAGUGAAUCUUACGAAGACGAAAUGGAACUAGAUAGUCUUGGUGACAGUAUUUUUACCGAUAGUGAAUUUGGAGACGAUGAAAUUGUCGAACAAGGGUAUAGUUUUGAGAACAAUUAUUAUACCGAUAGUGAUCUUACCUGUAGUGACGAUGAUGACCUUGAAGAAUGGUUGAGUCAUUAAUAAUACGAUACCAGGUCUUUUAUGUUCCAUUUUCUUAAACCAAUAUGAUGCUUGAAUUUCAAUAAAAUGAAAUAAUUGCUGUCAA